Molecule: unclassified non-coding RNA, 345 nt
Filed under: soil metagenome
Description: partial contains 5.8S ribosomal RNA, internal transcribed spacer 2, and large subunit ribosomal RNA
Rfam family: 5.8S ribosomal RNA (bases 1-120)
Source: RNAcentral
GAUGAAGAACGUAGCGAAAUGCGAUAAGUAGUGUGAAUUGCAGAAUUCAGUGAAUCAUCGAAUCUUUGAACGCACAUUGCGCCCCCUGGUAUUCCGGGGGGCAUGCCUGUCCGAGCGUCAUUGCUGCCCUCAAGCACGGCUUGUGUGUUGGGCCCCGUCCUCCGAUCCCGGGGGACGGGCCCGAAAGGCAGCGGCGGCACCGCGUCCGGUCCUCGAGCGUAUGGGGCUUUGUCACCCGCUCUGUAGGCCCGGCCGGCGCUUGCCGAUCAACCCAAAUUUUUAUCCAGGUUGACCUCGGAUCAGGUAGGGAUACCCGCUGAACUUAAGCAUAUCAAUAGCGGAGGA